RNAcentral lists this ribosomal RNA (822 nucleotides) under Triticum aestivum (bread wheat). RNAcentral describes it as "partial small subunit ribosomal RNA". Lineage: Eukaryota; Viridiplantae; Streptophyta; Magnoliopsida; Poales; Poaceae. The record is from RNAcentral.
AUGGUGGACGCGGUCGGCGCGCGCCUGCCGACAUGGAAGGCCUGGCUGAUGACUAAAACCGGGCGCCUCGCGCUGCUCAAGUCAGUCUUGUGCGCCAUCCCAGUGCACCAACUGCUUGCAUUCGCGCCCCCAAAAAAGACCCUCAAGCAGAUCGAGAAGAUCCAGCGCGGUUUCCUCUGGGCUGGCCGUGCAGCUGCCAAUGGUGGACACUGCCAUGUGAACUGGAGCAGAGUGUGCCACCCCAUCGAGCUCGGGGGCCUUGGCGUGCGAGACCUUGAGCGGGCUGGCCUCGCCCUGAGACUACGCUGGCUAUGGUUUUCCAGAAUAGACCCGGAGCGAGCUUGGCAAGGGCUCGACCUCCAAUUUUCGCCCACGGAACGUGCCCUGUUCUGGGCAUCCACGUUCACGAUCCUUGGGAAUGGGCUGUCCGCCCUGCUCUGGGAGGACCGAUGGAUUGGCGGCCGAUACGUGCGCGAGCUCAUGCCCAACUUAUACGGCUGCAUACCCAAGCGACGACGAACGACGAGAACUGUGGCGGAUGGGCUCAAUGGCAACUCUUGGGCACGCGACAUACAAGGAAACCUAGGUCUCCACGAGAUUGGCCAGUAUCUGCAACUUUGGCAGAUCAUGCAGCGCACCGAGCUUUCCACCAUACCGGACAAGUUGAUUUGGCGCUGGACAGCGAGCGGCAACUACUCCGCGCAGUCCUGCUACACGGCGACCUUCCAUGGAGCAACGGCCUGCCACUCAUGGAAGCUGAUUUGGAAAUGCUGGGCGCCACCGCGAGUCAAGUUCUUCCACUGGUUGGCCAACCAGGACUGA